AAAUUGAAGAGUUUGAUCAUGGCUCAGAUUGAACGCUGGCGGCAGGCCUAACACAUGCAAGUCGAACGGUAACAGGAAACAGCUUGCUGUUUCGCUGACGAGUGGCGGACGGGUGAGUAAUGUCUGGGAAACUGCCUGAUGGAGGGGGAUAACUACUGGAAACGGUAGCUAAUACCGCAUAAUGUCGCAAGACUAAAGAGGGGGACCUUCGGGCCUCUUGCCAUCGGAUGUGCCCAGAUGGGAUUAGCUAGUAGGUGGGGUAACGGCUCACCUAGGCGACGAUCCCUAGCUGGUCUGAGAGGAUGACCAGCCACACUGGAACUGAGACACGGUCCAGACUCCUACGGGAGGCAGCAGUGGGGAAUAUUGCACAAUGGGCGCAAGCCUGAUGCAGCCAUGCCGCGUGUAUGAAGAAGG
Molecule: ribosomal RNA, 417 nt
Filed under: Shigella sonnei
Lineage: Bacteria; Pseudomonadati; Pseudomonadota; Gammaproteobacteria; Enterobacterales; Enterobacteriaceae
Description: bacterial SSU rRNA
Rfam family: Bacterial small subunit ribosomal RNA
Source: RNAcentral